AAUUGUCCCAGCUUUCUCAACUGCGCCAUGGAAAUUUUCCACAACUGAGUCAUCGCUCGCUCUGGAUUUCAUACCAAAAAUAUUUUUUUUUCACCAUAGAUUACUUGUUUGUGCAUUUGGGAUGAUCCAGGACAAACGAAUUGGGAAACCGAUCUCUUUCCGGCACUAGGUAAGCGAUUGGUGGUUUGGAUGUCAAUGAGUGGAACGGUAGAAGGGUCGUCUCUGAACCCAAAUGCCCCACACUCUGUUCUGCAGCAGUUGCUGGAGUCAGUGGAGACAUUUUUGGAACACUUCCAUCAGUGUUGGCAACAAGAGAUGGCUCGCAAAGACUUGUUUGAGACUGCCUAUGUGGAGGCUUUAGUCAUGAACCUGAGCACCAAAUCUCCGAAAAAAGGCGUGAGGCCGGGUAAAUAUCGUGAAAAGCCUGUCCAAUGCGUAAGGCCAAAGGGUACCCCUCGCCGCAUCAUUCACCAGCCUCGCUGAGACUUGCUCUUUACGCGGAGCCUGUUAUCAGGGUGCUUCUUAUUGUACAUAUGCUGUGAUGGAUUUUGCUGUUGUUGCAGACCUUUGGUUGGCUUGUUCCA
Long non-coding RNA from Zingiber officinale, 584 nucleotides. RefSeq lists it as uncharacterized. The record is from RefSeq and is a predicted model, not a curated record. Lineage: Eukaryota; Viridiplantae; Streptophyta; Magnoliopsida; Zingiberales; Zingiberaceae. The transcript has 2 exons.